RNAcentral lists this ribosomal RNA (273 nucleotides) under uncultured bacterium. Its description in RNAcentral is "partial 16S ribosomal RNA". It matches the Rfam family "Bacterial small subunit ribosomal RNA", at positions 524 to 796 of the family's 1533-position model. The record is from RNAcentral.
UACGUAGGUGGCAAGCGUUACUCGGAAUCACUAGGCGUAAAGCGCAGGUAGGCGGUUCAGUAAGUCUUUUGUGAAAGCUCCCGGCUUAACUGGGAGAGGUCAAGGGAAACUGCUGGGCUAGAGUGUGGCAGAGGAAGCUAGAAUUCCCGGUGUAGCGGUGAAAUGCGUAGAUAUCGGGAGGAAUACCUAUGGCGAAAGCAGGCUUCUGGGCCAUCACUGACGCUGAGCUGCGAAAGCUAGGGGAGCAAACAGGAUUAGAAACCCCAGUAGUCC